RNAcentral lists this unclassified non-coding RNA (428 nucleotides) under soil metagenome. Its description in RNAcentral is "partial contains 5.8S ribosomal RNA, internal transcribed spacer 2, and large subunit ribosomal RNA". The stretch from base 1 to 120 matches the Rfam family "5.8S ribosomal RNA", at positions 35 to 154 of the family's 154-position model. The record is from RNAcentral.
GAUGAAGAACGCAGCGAAAUGCGAUAAGUAGUGUGAAUUGCAGAAUUACGUGAAUCAUCGAAUCUUUGAACGCAAAUUGCACUCUCUGGUAUUCCGGGGAGUAUGCCUGUUUGAGGGUCGCUUAAUAAACAUCGAUUUCAUCGCUUUUUUUUUAAAAGGGUGAUGUUUAUCGGAUUUGAGCCGUCUUUUUUUUUUAUGUAUUUUAUAUAUAUUUAAGAAAGUGGCUUAAAAUUGAUUUUUCUGGUAUGAUCGGAAGCGUAUUUUAUGAUCAAUUUUUGGUUAAAGAAACGCACGCGUACCUUCAUAUUCAUAUGAUGUAAUACGUUUGACUAUCGGAUUUAGUUCAUUCGUAUACGAUAUUUUUCAAAUUUUGACCUCAAAUCAGGUAAGAACACCCGCUGAACUUAAGCAUAUCAAUAAGCGGAGGA